This 253-nucleotide ribosomal RNA is filed under the name uncultured bacterium. RNAcentral's name for it is "partial 16S ribosomal RNA". It matches the Rfam family "Bacterial small subunit ribosomal RNA", at positions 524 to 776 of the family's 1533-position model. The record is from RNAcentral.
UACGUAGGUGGCAAGCGUUGUCCGGAUUUACUGGGCGUAAAGAGUGCGCAGGCGGUCGGUCAAGUCGCGUGUGAAAGCCCCCGGCUCAACUGGGGAGGGUCACGCGAUACUGAUCGACUCGAAGGCAGGAGAGGGUAGUGGAAUUCCCGGUGUAGUGGUGAAAUGCGUAGAUAUCGGGAGGAACACCAGUGGCGAAGGCGACUACCUGGCCUGUUCUUGACGCUGAGGCGCGAAAGCUAGGGGAGCAAACGGG